AAAGUCCAGUUAUGGAAGGAGAAGCUAGAUCCACCAUAUAGCGAGUCUUGUGGCUGAAGGUAACGACAGUAGUAAAGCGGUAGACAGCGAAACAUUGAGCCGAAACCGAAUGGUGAACGUGAUAGCCCCGAAAGUAUGAUUGUUGUGGAAGCCGAUAUGCUCUAACUACAUAGUAGGCAAAAGAAGAUUGGAGGUCAAACUAGUAAAAAUCCAAAAAUUUUCAACCACCGGGGUCGCAGGAGU
Molecule: non-coding RNA, 243 nt
Organism: Orientia tsutsugamushi str. Gilliam
Lineage: Bacteria; Pseudomonadati; Pseudomonadota; Alphaproteobacteria; Rickettsiales; Rickettsiaceae
Source: Rfam